GUGAGGAAUAUUGGUCAAUGGGCGCAAGCCUGAACCAGCCAUCCCGCGUGCAGGAAGACGGCGCUAUGCGUUGUAAACUGCUUUUCCAGGGAGAGAAACUUGCGCACGUGUUGCGCAAUUGACGGUACCCUGGGAAUAAGCAUCGGCUAACUCCGUGCCAGCAGCCGCGGUAAUACGGAGGAUGCGAGCGUUAUCCGGAUUCAUUGGGUUUAAAGGGUGCGUAGGCGGACUAUUAAGUCAGUGGUGAUAUCCUGCAGCUUAACUGCAGAACUGCCAUUGAUACUGAUAGCCUUGAGUUUGGUUAAGGUAGGCGGAAUGUGUAAUGUAGCGGUGAAAUGCUUAGAUAUUACACAGAACACCAAUUGCGUAGGCAGCUUACUGAGCCGACACUGACGCUGAGGCACGAAAGCGUGGGGAUCGAACAGGAUUAGAAACCCGUGUAGUCC
This 446-nucleotide ribosomal RNA is filed under the name uncultured bacterium. RNAcentral's name for it is "partial 16S ribosomal RNA". It matches the Rfam family "Bacterial small subunit ribosomal RNA", at positions 354 to 796 of the family's 1533-position model. The record is from RNAcentral.